Molecule: ribosomal RNA, 345 nt
Filed under: Rhabditis sp. DF5059
Lineage: Eukaryota; Metazoa; Nematoda; Chromadorea; Rhabditida; Rhabditidae
Description: bacterial SSU rRNA
Rfam family: Eukaryotic small subunit ribosomal RNA
Source: RNAcentral
CUAGCGUAAAAUAUUACUGCUGCGGUUAAAAAGCUCGUAGUUGAAUCUAGUCGUGUCCGUAGGGUUUGUCGUUGGCGUUUAUUCGUCUCUGGCGUUAAUCCUCGGCCGAUUUUUGCUGGUUUACUGUUGGUCUUCGGAUCUUCGGUGGCUAGCGAGUUACUUUGAUCAAAUCAGAGUGCUCAAAACAGGCGAAAGCUUGUAUGAUUUCUCGAGGAAUAACAGAAGAGGACUUCGGUUCUAUUUGUUGGUUCCAGAAUCGUUUAAUGGUUAAGAGGGACAAUUCGGGGGCAAACGUAUCCUCGCGCGAGGGGUGAAAUCCUUGGACCGCAGCGAGACGACCUAUUG